Transfer RNA from Lobosporangium transversale, 81 nucleotides. It matches the Rfam family "tRNA". Rfam says of the family: Transfer RNA (tRNA) molecules are approximately 80 nucleotides in length. Their secondary structure includes four short double-helical elements and three loops (D, anti-codon, and T loops). The record is from Rfam. Lineage: Eukaryota; Fungi; Mortierellomycota; Mortierellomycetes; Mortierellales; Mortierellaceae.
GUCAGCUUGGCCGAGUGGUUAAGGCGUAUGACUUGAAAUCAUAUGGGAUCUCCCGCGCAGGUUCAAACCCUGCAGCUGACG